Molecule: ribosomal RNA, 504 nt
Filed under: uncultured bacterium
Lineage: Bacteria
Description: bacterial SSU rRNA
Rfam family: Bacterial small subunit ribosomal RNA
Source: RNAcentral
GAUGAACGCUAGCGGCAGGCUUAAUACAUGCAAGUCGAGGGGUAACAGGGGUAGCAAUACCUGCUGACGACCGGCAAACGGGUGCGGAACACGUACGCAACCUUCCCAAAACUGGUGAAUAGCCCUCCGAAAGGAGGAUUAAUACACCGUAACAUAUAGAAGUGGCAUCACUUUUAUAUUAUAACUCCGGUGGUUUUGGAUGGGCGUGCGGCUGAUUAGGUAGUUGGCGGGGUAACGGCCCACCAAGCCUGCGAUCAGUAACUGGUGUGAGAGCACGACCAGUCACACGGGCACUGAGACACGGGCCCGACUCCUACGGGAGGCAGCAGUAAGGAAUAUUGGUCAAUGGACGAAAGUCUGAACCAGCCAUGCCGCGUGAAGGAUGAAGGUCCUCUGGAUUGUAAACCUCUUUUGCAUGGGACGAAAAAACUUAAUUUAUUAAGGACUGACGGUACCAUGAGAAUAAGCACCGGCUAACUCCGUGCCAGCAGCCGCGGUAAAUGA